GGGGGGGGGAUAAGUAGUGUAAGGGUUGCCACAAUUGUCUGCCAUCAGAGGGGGUGAGGUUCAAUCCAUGCUUAGCCAAGACAUCUGCGGUAGUAUUUGCUUCGCGGUAGAUAUGCCUAAGCUCCACUUGACCCAACUCCAGUAUCAAUGACCUGCAAUCAGAAAGAAUGUGUGAGUGAAGUUCAUUUUCAUGUUCGAUCAUGGAGCAUAGUAUAUGCGAAUCAGUCUCUAUCUAAAGGGGAGACAAUUUUAAUUCCUUAGCUAACUGUAGACAAAUCAAAAGUGCUGAUAAUUCAGAUUCAGUUGCAGUGGAGCACUUCACGAAUUCAUUGACUGUUAUGAUUACAAAAAAUUCCCGUGGCACCAGCUUUUAGGGUAGCUGGAUCAAAGGCACCAUCCAUUUUAAGUUUGAAAAAACGUUCAGAUGGAGGGUGCCAUUUGAUAUAAAGAGUGUGCGUGACAGUUGUAGGAUGAUGAGCCAGUGAGAGAAAGUGAAAUUCUAUAAUAUGGUACAUAAUAUUAUUAACAGACACCUGAUUGUGAAGGUUAUUAAAAAGAUUAUGAUUAUGUGUUAUCCAAAUAUGCCAAAGAAUGAAGGGAACUAUUAACAUCGCAGGAACCUGAAGGCCUUGGUAGCUAAAGAGGUUUUGAGUUUGACGACAUUGAUCGUGAAGCCAAUCGUUAAAGUUGAGACCAGUACUGUUAACAUUGAAGAAAGUCCACAAUGGUUUGACGUUGCCGCAGUCCCAAAACAAGUGUUUUAUGAUUUUUGGAGCAAAACGACAUAAUUGACAGGUGGGAUGAGGAAGAAUACGUAAAGAGUGAAGGUAAGCAGCGGUAGGAAGUCGGUUUUGCAGCACUAACCAUAGGAAUAUAUUAAGUUAUUAGGUAUAUGUAAUUUCCAAAUCCAGGAGAGUGGGGCAGUAUUCAUCUCAGCAGAUUGAAGUUCCUGAAGAUAUAGUUGGUAUACCGAUUUCGUGAAAAAAAAUGUUGCUUUGAUUGGGGAACCAGCAGAACGUAUCGGGGCGUGAUGAGUAAGAGGUGAAGUAUGUACUAUGGAUGAGGGUAGAGAUAGUAGGAGGGAGGAUAAAAGAAAGAUUUUGAAAUUACCAUUGAUUAUUCUGUAAAAGGUGGGAUAGUGUUAAGAUAAAUUCAAAUAGUUGUAAGGGGCCGUGGAUAAGACUCAUAAUCGUGAAAUUGUUGGGAAGUCAAAUAUCAUGCCAAAAAUUGAUAUCCGAACCCGAUCCAAUAUGCCACUUAGUUUCCUUGGUAGUAAAUGCGUAACCCUUGAGGAGACUUUUCCAAAUAAAGGAAGCAUUGGCCCGAUAAGGAGUGUCAAGUGUGGUAGGUCGAUCUAGACGGUAUUUAGAAGAAAGAAUUUUAACCCAAGGGGCAUGGGGGUUGUGGCAGAAUCGCCAUGCUAAACCCG
RNAcentral lists this long non-coding RNA (1429 nucleotides) under Nicotiana tabacum (common tobacco). RNAcentral describes it as "long non-coding RNA (NTAB_LNC005553)". Lineage: Eukaryota; Viridiplantae; Streptophyta; Magnoliopsida; Solanales; Solanaceae. The record is from RNAcentral.